This 256-nucleotide ribosomal RNA is filed under the name uncultured archaeon. RNAcentral's name for it is "partial 16S ribosomal RNA". It matches the Rfam family "Bacterial small subunit ribosomal RNA", at positions 521 to 776 of the family's 1533-position model. The record is from RNAcentral.
UAAUACGGAGGGGGCUAGCGUUGUUCGGAAUUACUGGGCGUAAAGCGCACGUAGGCGGCUUUGUAAGUCAGAGGUGAAAGCCCGGAGCUCAACUCCGGAAUUGCCUUUGAGACUGCAUCGCUUGAAUCCGGGAGAGGUGAGUGGAAUUCCGAGUGUAGAGGUGAAAUUCGUAGAUAUUCGGAAGAACACCAGUGGCGAAGGCGGCUCACUGGACCGGUAUUGACGCUGAGGUGCGAAAGCGUGGGGAGCAAACAGG